GACGAACGCUGGCGGCGUGCUUAACACAUGCAAGUCGAACGGAAAGGCCCUGCUUGCAGGGUGCUCGAGUGGCGAACGGGUGAGUAACACGUGGGUGAUCUGCCCCUUACUUUGGGAUAAGCCUGGGAAACUGGGUCUAAUACUGGAUAGGACCAUGCUGUAGGUGGUGUGGUGGAAAGAUUAGUUUCGGUAAGGGAUGAGCUCGCGGCCUAUCAGCUUGUUGGUGGGGUAAUGGCCUACCAAGGCGUCGACGGGUAGCCGGCCUGAGAGGGUGGACGGCCACAUUGGGACUGAGAUACGGCCCAGACUCCUACGGGAGGCAUCAGUGGGGAAUAUUGCACAAUGGGCGCAAGCCUGAUGCAGCGACGCCGCGUGGGGGAUGACGGCCUUCGGGUUGUAAACUCCUUUCAGCCAUGACGAAGCCCUUGUGGUGACGGUAGUGGUAGAAGAAGCACCGGCUAACUACGUG
This 469-nucleotide ribosomal RNA is filed under the name uncultured bacterium. RNAcentral describes it as "partial 16S ribosomal RNA". It matches the Rfam family "Bacterial small subunit ribosomal RNA", at positions 28 to 507 of the family's 1533-position model. The record is from RNAcentral.